UGUUGUUUUUCUGAAAAUCAAUUUAAGAACUGUUCAUUUUUAGUUGUUAAGACUUUAUCGGCUUACUGCUAUUUUUUGGAUUUUUCUUGAAUGCACUUUUCAGUUAACAAGUCAACAUCAAUUUCUUUUGUUGUAAAACAGUAAGAGGAAGGUGGCUUUAUCUUCGGAUGAAGUGUUUAUAGCCUUUUACUUCUGCAAUCGGAGAGAUUGAGGUCUGCAGCGUAGAUCCUUCGGGGUUAGAUACUUCUAUGCUAAGCUAUAGUCCUAUAUAGACAACUUGUUGACUAUGUUCGAUCCUGUAACUUACUCGUAGAUACUAUUUUACCUAC
This 329-nucleotide ribosomal RNA is filed under the name Neocallimastigales sp. RNAcentral describes it as "partial large subunit ribosomal RNA". Lineage: Eukaryota; Fungi; Neocallimastigomycota; Neocallimastigomycetes; Neocallimastigales. The record is from RNAcentral.